GUGAGGAAUUUUCCGCAAUGGGCGAAAGCCUGACGGAGCAAUGCCGCGUGAAGGAUGAAGGCCUAUGGGUUGUAAACUUCUUUUCUCAGAAAAGAAUUAUGACGGUAUCUGAGGAAUAAGCAUCGGCUAACUCUGUGCCAGCAGCCGCGGUAAGACAGAGGAUGCAAGCGUUAUCCGGAAUGAUUGGGCGUAAAGCGUCUGUAGGUUGUUAAAAAAGUAUUCUGUCAAAGAUUAGGGCUUAACCCUAGAUAGGCAGAAUAAACUUUUAAGCUAGAGUUUGGUAGAGGCAGAGGGAAUUCCCGGUGGAGCGGUGAAAUGCGUAGAUAUCGGGAGGAACACCAAAGGCGAAGGCACUCUGCUGGGCCAAUACUAACACUGAGAGACGAAAGCGAGGGGAGCAAAUGGGAUUAGAACCCGUGUAGUCC
Molecule: ribosomal RNA, 425 nt
Filed under: uncultured bacterium
Lineage: Bacteria
Description: partial 16S ribosomal RNA
Rfam family: Bacterial small subunit ribosomal RNA
Source: RNAcentral